Molecule: ribosomal RNA, 253 nt
Filed under: uncultured bacterium
Lineage: Bacteria
Description: partial 16S ribosomal RNA
Rfam family: Bacterial small subunit ribosomal RNA
Source: RNAcentral
UACGUAGGGUGCAAGCGUUGUCCGGAAUUAUUGGGCGUAAAGAGCUCGUAGGCGGCUUGUCACGUCGUCUGUGAAAACCCAUGGCUCAACCAUGGGCUUGCAGGCGAUACGGGCUAGCUAGAGUGUGGUAGGGGAGACUGGAAUUCCUGGUGUAGCGGUGAAAUGCGCAGAUAUCAGGAGGAACACCGGUGGCGAAGGCGGGUCUCUGGGCCAUUACUGACGCUGAGGAGCGAAAGCGUGGGGAGCAAACAGG